RNAcentral lists this ribosomal RNA (498 nucleotides) under uncultured bacterium. RNAcentral describes it as "bacterial SSU rRNA". It matches the Rfam family "Bacterial small subunit ribosomal RNA", at positions 30 to 520 of the family's 1533-position model. The record is from RNAcentral.
AUUGAACGCUGGCGGAAUGCUUUACACAUGCAAGUCGAACGGCAGCACGGACUUCGGUCUGGUGGCGAGUGGCGAACGGGUGAGUAAUACAUCGGAACGUGCCCGGACGUGGGGGAUAACUACUCGAAAGAGUGGCUAAUACCGCAUACGAUCCAAGGAUGAAAGCGGGGGAUCGCAAGACCUCGCGCGUUUGGAGCGGCCGAUGGCAGAUUAGGUAGUUGGUGAGGUAAAGGCUUACCAAGCCUGCGAUCUGUAGCUGGUCUGAGAGGAUGAUCAGCCACACUGGGACUGAGACACGGCCCAGACUCCUACGGGAGGCAGCAGUGGGGGAAUUUUGGGACAAUGGGCGAAAGCCUGAUCCAGCCAUUCCGCGUGCAGGAUGAAGGCCCUCGGGUUGUAAACUGCUUUGUACGGAACGAAAAGGCUCUUGCUAAUACCAGGAGUCCAUGACGGUACCGUAAGAAUAAGCACCGGCUAACUACGUGCCAGCAGCCGCGG